Molecule: transfer RNA, 73 nt
Filed under: Ovis aries (sheep)
Lineage: Eukaryota; Metazoa; Chordata; Mammalia; Artiodactyla; Bovidae
Rfam family: tRNA
About the family: Transfer RNA (tRNA) molecules are approximately 80 nucleotides in length.
Source: Rfam by way of RNAcentral
UCCCUGGUGGCUCAGAUGGUAAAAGCAUCGGCCUACAAAGCGGGAGAUCCAGGUUUGAUCCCUGGGUUGGGAA